UAAGUAUUUAGUAUAAGUUUAAUAUAUUUAUUUGCAGAAUAAGAGAUACGAUUUAAGGUAAUAUUUU
This 67-nucleotide transfer RNA is filed under the name Syndesmis echinorum. RNAcentral describes it as "tRNA-Cys". The record is from RNAcentral. Lineage: Eukaryota; Metazoa; Platyhelminthes; Rhabdocoela; Umagillidae.